Molecule: ribosomal RNA, 433 nt
Filed under: uncultured bacterium
Lineage: Bacteria
Description: partial 16S ribosomal RNA
Rfam family: Bacterial small subunit ribosomal RNA
Source: RNAcentral
AACGAACGCUGGCGGCAUGCUUAACACAUGCAAGUCGAACGAAACCUCCCGGCUUAUUGGCGCACGGGGGCGUACGGCCGGGGAACUUGCCCUUAGGUUAGCUAUAACUCCCUGAAAGGGGACUUAAUAACGGUGGAUGUCAUCCGAGCAAAGAUGUAUGGCGUUUGGAUGGGGGCGCGUUGGAUUCGCCGGUUGGUAGGGUAAAAGCCUGUCAAGGCCAGGUUCCAUAGCUGGUCUGUGAGGAUGAUCAGCCACACUGGGACUGAGACACGGGCCAGAAUCGUACGGAGAGCAGGAGUAGGGAAUAUUAGACGAUGAGCGAAAGCCUGGUCCAGCAGUGCGGGGUAAGUGAUGAAGGCCUUAGGAUUGUAAAGCUCUUUUACCCGAAGUGAUAGUGACGGUACCGGGAAAAUAAGCACCGGCUAACUACGUG